AUUGAACGCUGGCGGCAGGCCUAACACAUGCAAGUCGAGCGGAUGAAUGGCGCUUGCUCCUGGAUUCAGCGGCGGACGGGUGAGUAAUGCCUAGGAAUCUUCCUGGUAGUGGGGGAUAACGUCCGGAAACGGGCGCUAAUACCGCAUACGUCCUGCGGGCGAAAGUGGGGGAUCUUCGGACCUCACGCUAUCAGUUGAGCCUAGGUCGGAUUAGCUAGUUGGUGGGGUAAAGGCCUACCAAGGCGACGAUCCGUAACUGGUCUGAGAGGAUGAUCAGUCACACGGGAACUGAGACACGGUCCAGACUCCGACGGGAGGCAGCAGUGGGGAAUAUUGGACAAUGGGCGAAAGCCUGAUCCAGCCAUGCCGCGUGUGUGAAGAAGGGCUUCGGAUUGUAAAGCACUUUAAGUUGGGAGGAGGGGCAGUAAGUUAAUACCUGGCUGUAUUGACGGUACCAACAGAAUAAGCACCGGCUAACUUCGUG
RNAcentral lists this ribosomal RNA (484 nucleotides) under uncultured bacterium. RNAcentral's name for it is "partial 16S ribosomal RNA". It matches the Rfam family "Bacterial small subunit ribosomal RNA", at positions 30 to 507 of the family's 1533-position model. The record is from RNAcentral.